GAUGAACGCUGGCGGCGUGCCUAACACAUGCAAGUCGAACGAACAGGCCCUGCGCUUGCUCGUUGCUCGAGUGGCGAACGGGUGUGUGACACGUGAGUAACCUGCCCCUGUCUUUCGGAUAACAUCACGAAACAGGGGCUCAUACCGCAGAUGAGCUCCUGCUGCACGUUGGUGGUUGGAAAGUUUCGGCGGUUGUGGAUGGUCUCGCGGCACAUCCGCUUGUUUGUGGGGUAGUUGCAUACCAAGCCUUAGACGGGUAGCCGACCUGAGAAGGUGACCGGCCACCUUGGGACUAAGAUACGGACCAGACGGCUACGGGAGGCAGCAGUGGGGAGUAUGGCGCAAUGAGCGGAAGUCUGAUGCAGCGACGCCGGGAGCGGGAUGACGGCCUUCGGGGUGUAAACCGCUGUCGCCUGUGACGAGGCGUGAGUGACGGUAACGGGUAAGGAAGCACCGGCUAACUACGUG
RNAcentral lists this ribosomal RNA (468 nucleotides) under uncultured bacterium. RNAcentral's name for it is "partial 16S ribosomal RNA". It matches the Rfam family "Bacterial small subunit ribosomal RNA", at positions 28 to 507 of the family's 1533-position model. The record is from RNAcentral.